Octopus sinensis (East Asian common octopus) is the source of this 246-nucleotide long non-coding RNA. RefSeq lists it as uncharacterized. The record is from RefSeq and is a predicted model, not a curated record. The transcript has 2 exons. Lineage: Eukaryota; Metazoa; Mollusca; Cephalopoda; Octopoda; Octopodidae.
UCGGCUGUGCAUGUUGAAAUAAAAAAUUUAAAAAUUGAGUUUUUUCACAAUGAUAAGUCUGAACAUUUUAGCAUAAUUGGAAAUCAUUGUGAUUCAGAUUUAAGAAAGAAUACUAGGAUUCCAAUUAUUUUGGGAUCUAUAAUAAUUGUUAUGCUGACGGUCGCAUUUGUGACUUUUCUGUUGAUAAGAAGAAAACAGAGUUCUACUUAUAACUUGUUUUAACUUUCUAUAUCAAUUUUAUUCUUA